AUCUGAGUCAUUUGCUGUUUUUUUUUUUUCCCUCGAGAUUUUAUCCCACCAACUACUGAUGUCCCACAUUCAUCAACAGGACAUGGCUCUGAUGAGACUGAGGAAGGGAGGCUGCCAUGCCCAUGACCUAUAUUUAGCUUUGAAACAUGGGCCACUGCCACAGCCCACUGGAAACUCUCCAUCUUUCAAGACAGAUCACAACCCUCAAUUGAAAAACACUAGAAUAUGCCAAGGAGUGAAGAGGGCUCUUUCCAAGAGUGUAAUUGCUUCUCUGCUCCAUUAUUAACCUGUGAGACUUAAAUAUUUUUAGUUCUGAAGGGCCUUUGCUCAUUCUUCAGUAAAUAAGUUGUCAACAUGAAUGAGGGAAAACCCAGCAAAUUCACUGUUCUUAUGUUUCUCUAGAAGCCAAUACAAGCUUCAAGCUAUAUUUCCACACUACUGGAGUUCUUGUCAAGAAACUGGUAUGUACCCCAAAGAGGCAUGAGUAGCAAGUUUGGGCUGGUGCAGUCUGCACCUAUUUAAUAACAAAAGAAUCAGUCAGCACCUAUUUAAUAAUAGACUCAUAUAAAGUGGCCUAAAAUUCCAAAACUUUUGUUUUCCAGUGCGUAGCCACUUGCCACAUGUGGCUGUAUGUUUUUAUAUUUGAAUUCAUUUAAAAUUUAGAGUUCAGUUUCUCAGUCUCACUCACUACCUUUCACCAGGCUGGUGGCUACCAUACUGAACAGCACAGGAUUAUGUGUCUGUGAUUGCAGAAAGUUCUAUUGGGUAGCAUUCACCUAGAAUGGCCCUGGGUCCUUCUGAAGGUGGUAGGCUCACAUUCUUGCACCAGUGGUUCUCAUCUCUGCCUGUGUAUAUGUAUGAAUUUAUUCAUGUUUUUGUGGUGCUGGAACUCAGACCCACAGCCUAAUGCAUGAUAGGCAAACACUCUACUACUGACCACACCCGCUCCUUCUGCCUGCACAUGUUGAGAGCCACAGUUUAGUGUGUGUGGGGGGGGUGAGGUUCUUUGCCUCACCUCUGUUGGCCCCCAAAUUUUAGACCAUCACAAGCAGAAGGGAGGAGGAUGCAAAAUGCCACGGCACCAAGCCAAAUGACGGCUCUUUUUGGAAAAAUUGCACCACCGAAUGACACCAUCAGCAAAGAUACCCCAGCACUACCACAAUUCGCUGUACCAACAGAUAGUUCACAAUGCAUGCAAGUGAUACAUAGUCCAGGCAAGUUCUGCAAACAGUUCAAAGCAGAGAAAUCUAUUAAUAUGUCCAUUUCUUCUCAAAGUAAAUCGACUCCUUGAUUGAGCAUCGCUUGCUGAGUUAUUAUUCAUUGAUGCAUCAGUUUAUACAGUUUGUUGUGAUAGCUAUCGCAGAAGCUGUAGUUUGGUUUUAUCUUUGUCUUCACCGGCACUGGGAUGAAGAUAGGAAUUCUGGCAAUGAUGGCUAAAAAAAAUUAUGUAACAUUCCAGCAGGCACUAAAAGAAAGCAAUUUUCUAAACAAUUUACAUUAUCCUGAACAGAAUUAUUAAAUAUAAUGAAAAGGAAAGGUAAAAGUAAACAAACAGAUCUGUUAACCUCCUUUUUUGUUCACAUAUUAAAACAAUCCUCAACAGCUAUUUACCCAAUUUAAAUUAAACCAUUUAAAUCACGUGAAUAAAAAAAAAAAAAUUCGGAUCCAUUUUUUCAUGAGCACUCCUCAUAUAUAUGGACAUAUGCACAUACAGACAUACAACACAAAACAGAAGUGUGCACACAUAACAUACAACACAUAAGACAAUAGUAAAGGCCUUGUAGCUUUACACAGGUGAAAUCUCCAUUGCAAUGUUUAAAAACUCCACAGUCUGAUCAGAAAAACAUUAACCUAGGUCUGUAUGAGCUCAAAAAAUAAAAUAGAACUUCGUGAUGUGGGAAAAGGC
Molecule: long non-coding RNA, 1906 nt
Filed under: Marmota monax (woodchuck)
Lineage: Eukaryota; Metazoa; Chordata; Mammalia; Rodentia; Sciuridae
Source: RNAcentral